RNAcentral lists this ribosomal RNA (255 nucleotides) under uncultured bacterium. Its description in RNAcentral is "partial 16S ribosomal RNA". It matches the Rfam family "Bacterial small subunit ribosomal RNA", at positions 524 to 776 of the family's 1533-position model. The record is from RNAcentral.
UACGUAGGAGGCGAGCGUUGUCCGGAGUUACUGGGCGUAAAGGGCGCGUAGGCGGCCACCGCAAGUCGACUGUGAAAUCUCCGGGCUUAUCUCGGAAAGGUCAGCCGAUACUGCGGGGCUAGAGUGCAGAAGGGGCAACUGGAAUUCUCGGUGUAGCGGUGAAAUGCGUAGAUAUCGAGAGGAACACCUGCGGCGAAGGCGGGUUGCUGGGCUGACACUGACGCUGAUUGUGCGAAAGCAUGGGGAGCGAACAGG